Molecule: long non-coding RNA, 983 nt
Organism: Magallana angulata
Lineage: Eukaryota; Metazoa; Mollusca; Bivalvia; Ostreida; Ostreidae
Exons: 2
Source: RefSeq, a predicted model, not a curated record
GAUUGUAUGUCCAGGACAUGGCAGAGCGGUUUGGUGUGUCCGUGGGUGCAUUCUCUCAGUACUUCACCACCUGGGUUUGCCUACUCUACAAGGAACUUAAGGAGCUGAACCCCUUUCCAUCAAGGGAUGUUAUUCAGAGAAAUAUGCCGUCAUGUUUUAAAUCUUUCCCUAAUUUAAGAGUUAUACUUGAUUGUACUGAAAUCUUUAUUCAAAGAUCCAGCAGUUUGGUUAAUCAGAAUCAGUCAUUUUCAAAUUACAAGCAUCACACUACUUUAAAAUUUCUUGUUGGAAUCACUCCUUCUGGUGUGAUUUCAUUUGUUUCAGAGGGCUUUGGUGGAAGAGUUUCAGACCGACAGAUGAUUGAGCGCACCUGCCUAUUAGACCUCAUAGAAGAGGGCGAUGGGGUGAUGGCAGACAAGGGUUUUACCAUCAAAGACAUGUUAGAGAAAAAGGGAUGCACUCUUAAUAUUCCACCUUUUCGUUCUUCUUCUAAUCAGUUUACAACUCAAGAAGUUUUAAAUACUCAAGAAAUUGCUAAAUUAAGAAUUCAUGUGGAAAGAGCUAUUGGCCGCGUCAAAAAUUUUCAUAUAUUUGAUGGUGUUCUUUCUCUUUCUUUAGUGCCAUUAUCAUCACAGAUGUUUUCUGUUUGCUGUUGGAUAACAAACCUUGAUGUACCUUUGAUUGAAAGUUAGUUCUCAUCAGACAGGAUCAGAGCUUUCAUCGCCUUUUCCCUCGGAUCCUCUGUUGACUCUACCUCCACUUCAGAUUCAAACUCUGGGCUUUCAUCCGGAAUAUUCCACAAGUGACCCAUGCCUUUCAAAAGAAUUUAUUUAUUAAAUUUAUGUUAUGUUUUCAGAGGAGUUUUAGUUUAAUUUUUUUUUAAAUUGUCCAUCAUAUAAUGUGUCAGGGAAUUGAAAUUAUCUGUUGUUGUUAUAAAUGUAUUUUUCUUAAUUAUAUAGUAAAAAUUAAAUUUUAAACCAAGA